GGUCAGCUGAAGUUAGCAGUGUACGAGAAUUUCGGCCUUCUUACCAUACACAUUAUCGAGGCAAGGAAGUUAAAGUCACGGUAUUCUAGUGUGUGUAAUCCGUAUGUCAAGAUCUCGCUCGUACCGGACUGUGUCGAGAGGACCUUCUGCCGCACCCGCUCAUCCGGGCCACCAACGCCCCAGACUUCGACCAGAAAUUCAGCUUCGAUUUCCUGCCUGAAGACCUCGACAAGCGGCUCCUCAUUUCGGUGUGGAGUCGGGAUACGCUGAGGAAAAGGAGUGAAUUUCUCGGCUGUAUGUCCUUCAGUGUCGCCCAUAUAUCCAAUAAG
Penaeus vannamei (Pacific white shrimp) is the source of this 329-nucleotide non-coding RNA. Lineage: Eukaryota; Metazoa; Arthropoda; Malacostraca; Decapoda; Penaeidae. The record is from RefSeq and is a predicted model, not a curated record.